Picea glauca (white spruce) is the source of this 114-nucleotide non-coding RNA. Lineage: Eukaryota; Viridiplantae; Streptophyta; Pinopsida; Pinales; Pinaceae. The record is from Rfam.
UUCUUACAACAUAAUGUUAAUGCAUCAUAUUCCAAGAACUUCGUAGUUAAUCGCACUCAAACUAGAGUAGUACUGGGAUGGGUGACCACUCGAGAAGUCCUAGUUUUUUACAUG